AUGCCAAGGCCGCGGGGUUUCUCACGUCAUCUUCCAGGAGUUGUGGCGUCCUGCGUUUCACUGGAUCCAUCUCGAGCUACCUUGUGAGUAGAGGGGGAGAGAUGGGACAUGGAAAGAAGGCAUGGACCAAAGCGAGACCAAAAUUCAGCUGGGCAAAUGGGUCCUGUAGCUCCACGUCCAGUGUCUGGGGCAUGUGGCUUCACAAUGUUCUCUUCAAAGGGUCUUUAUGAAUCGCACCCUCAGGAGCUGCCCACAGGGACUUUGACCCUGCUGCACUUUGCCUGGCCUCCCAUGCCUUCCUUGAAAUCUCAGUGGAAGCCUCCAUGGCCCUCUAACUCCUGGAUCCUGCAAUCCUGUAGAACCAGCGCCAUGUGGUUGACACCAGUGUCUGCCGCCAUCUCUAGCAGUAGCCAAGCCUCCCUGGGACCACAUCUGCAGCAGCCUCCGAGUGCCUGGGCAUUGAAAGCAGUAAAACAAUUUCCUAGGACCCCCUGAGCAAACAGAGUACCAGCAUGGUCUCUUUUCAAAGGAAUUUUUAUUUUCCCUCUUGAGCCUGAGAUGGGUGUGGUCUUGCCAAUUCCUGAGAUGCCCUUAAGCUAUCUUUCCUAUCAUUUCUGCAUCAAGUACUUAGAAUCUCUUUAGUGACUGUGUAGUAUUUAACAACCACAAUUCCUUAGUUCCAGUUUUAUUCACAUUAAAGCUUCCAGUAAUA
Sciurus carolinensis (gray squirrel) is the source of this 712-nucleotide long non-coding RNA. RefSeq lists it as uncharacterized. The record is from RefSeq and is a predicted model, not a curated record. The transcript is spliced from 3 exons. NCBI's taxonomy places the organism in Eukaryota, Metazoa, Chordata, Mammalia, Rodentia, Sciuridae.